Molecule: ribosomal RNA, 384 nt
Filed under: Cacodmus sparsilis
Lineage: Eukaryota; Metazoa; Arthropoda; Insecta; Hemiptera; Cimicidae
Description: partial 16S ribosomal RNA
Rfam family: Archaeal large subunit ribosomal RNA (bases 1-184)
Source: RNAcentral
UCCUUUGGUUUAUAUAUAAGGUCAGACCUGCCCUAUGAUUUAUUAAAUGGCCGCGGUAUCCUGACCGUGCAAAGGUAGCAUAAUAGAUUGUCCUUUAAUUGGGGACUGGAAUGAAUGGUCAUACGAGAAAUUAGCUUUCUUUAUUUUAUUAUAAUGAAAUUUAUUUCUUUGUGAAAAAGCAAAGAUAUAUUUAUUAGACGAUAAGACCCUAUAAAACUUUAUUAAUUUGUAAAAUUAAGUUUUUUAGGUUUUAGGUUAGAGCUUAUUUUUAUAAAUUAAUUUUGUUGGGGAGACGGGUAAAUAUGUUUAACUUUAUUUUUCUUAGUUCAUUAGUUUAUGUGUUUUUUGAUCCAAUUUUAAUGAUUAAAAGAGUAAGUUACUUUA